UGGGGAAUUUUGGACAAUGGCGCAAGCCUGAUCCAGCCAUGCCGCGUGCGGGAAGAAGGCCUUCGGGUUGUAAACCGCUUUUGUCAGGGAAGAAAUCUUCUGAGUUAAUACCUCGGGAGGAUGACGGUACCUGAAGAAUAAGCACCGGCUAACUACGUGCCAGCAGCCGCGGUAAAUACGUAGGGUGCAAGCGUUAAUCGGAAUUACUGGGCGUAAAGCGUGCGCAGGCGGUUUUGUAAGACAGAGGUGAAAUCCCCGGGCUCAACCUGGGAACUGCCUUUGUGACUGCAAGGCUUGAGUGCGGCAGAGGGGGAUGGAAUUCCGCGUGUAGCAGUGAAAUGCGUAGAUAUGCGGAGGAACACCGAUGG
This 368-nucleotide ribosomal RNA is filed under the name uncultured bacterium. RNAcentral's name for it is "partial 16S ribosomal RNA". It matches the Rfam family "Bacterial small subunit ribosomal RNA", at positions 355 to 715 of the family's 1533-position model. The record is from RNAcentral.